RNAcentral lists this ribosomal RNA (749 nucleotides) under Thysanoptera sp. NZAC03013346. RNAcentral describes it as "eukaryotic LSU rRNA". It matches the Rfam family "Eukaryotic large subunit ribosomal RNA", at positions 396 to 944 of the family's 3401-position model. The record is from RNAcentral. Lineage: Eukaryota; Metazoa; Arthropoda; Insecta; Thysanoptera.
UACGUGAAACUGAGUUGAUUGAAAUUGGACGAGACCGAAAAGUCCGGACGGAUAGACUCAGGUUUACCGCGCCGGAGCCCGUGCGGGGAAGUUGGUCGAGAAGCGUCUCGCUCUGCGUUGCGCGCUCUGCCUCGGAACCGCGCGUGUUUGCGUCCGGUGCGGGACUCUGCACUUCUAUCCUAGUAGGAGGUCGCGACCCGUUGGGCGGUCGGCUUGCGGGCCCCGGGUGGUAGCACGCUUGUCUCGAAAGAGACCUGCGAACCCCGGGUGGCCCAGUCAGCCCCCGACGGUAUCAUAUAAUCUGGGGAAGGGACCGCUCCCUCGGGAGCGUCCCGCCGCAAGGCGGGUCAGGUCCUCGAACCGGUCGGCGGCUUUAUUGUUUUUGGUACUCGCCCGCCCCGUCUUGAAACACGGACCAAGGAGUCUAGCAUGUGCGCAAGUCAUUGGGUGUUAAACCUAAAGGCGCAACUAAAGUAAAGUCCCCGAGACUCAGGGCGCCUCGCGCGUCCUCUCUCGUGGGACCGGGGUGAUGGCCGGCGCUGCUUCCGCAUCCGGCCCGCAACCCCGGGAUGUCUCUGUCUCGCCGAGACUUGAUGUCCUCUGAGCGUACAUGUUGGUACCCGAAAGAUGGUGACCUAUGCCUGGCCAGGACGAAGUCAGGGGAAACCCUGAUGGAGGUCCGAAGCGGUUCUGACGUGCAAAUCGAUCGCAUGAGCUGGGUAUAGGGGCGAAAGACUAAUCGAACCGUC